ACGCAUAUUCUCUCUCUCUAUAUCUGCUUCUGCUGCUGCUUCUUCUUCUACAGUACAGAAGACGAUGUUCGAUCUGAUUGAAUUGGACGCGGGAAUGGAGGUCAUUCAAUUAGGAAUCACGAAAG
This is a non-coding RNA of Erythranthe guttata (spotted monkey flower), 125 nucleotides long. The record is from RefSeq and is a predicted model, not a curated record. Lineage: Eukaryota; Viridiplantae; Streptophyta; Magnoliopsida; Lamiales; Phrymaceae.